GGGGAAUUUUCCGCAAUGGGCGAAAGCCUGACGGAGCAAUGCCGCGUGGAGGAGGAAGGCCCGAGGGUUGUAAACUCCUUUUCUCAGAAAAGAAGAUCUGACGGUAUCUGAGGAAUAAGCAUCGGCUAACUCCGUGCCAGCAGCCGCGGUAAGACGGAGGAUGCAAGCGUUAUCCGGAAUGAUUGGGCGUAAAGCGUCCGCAGGUGGCAAUGUAAGUCUGCUGUUAAAGAGUCUAGCUCAACUAGAUACAAGCAGUGGAAACUACAUAGCUAGAGUACGUUCGGGGCAGAGGGAAUUCCUGGUGUAGCGGUGAAAUGCGUAGAGAUCAGGAAGAACACCAGUGGCGAAGGCGCUCUGCUAGGCCGUAACUGACACUGAGGGACGAAAGCUAGGGGAGCGAAUGGGAUUAGAUACCCCAGUAGUC
This 424-nucleotide ribosomal RNA is filed under the name uncultured cyanobacterium. Its description in RNAcentral is "bacterial SSU rRNA". It matches the Rfam family "Bacterial small subunit ribosomal RNA", at positions 356 to 795 of the family's 1533-position model. The record is from RNAcentral. Lineage: Bacteria; Bacillati; Cyanobacteriota.